UCCAGUGGCCUGGCAAUUAGUGACCACGGCGAUACGAGAAACCGACACGCAAAUAUCCGGACAGCAACGGACGAUCGAAGACAAGCCGUGCAUUUCUGGAGAGGAGCAUCGCGCUUUUAGUGGAUCUACCAAAAGGCAGAGGAGCGGCAAGAACAAGUUAUCGUUCUUUACCUUUCAGUGAACUCUAGCUUGUAAGGAGCAGAAACAUAAACACAGCGAGGCAGGAGACGGCUGCAUACACCUCUGCCUGCGGUGAACAGGACUGUCAGAGUCAGGAAACGUUCUGGAGAAAAGCUGUCUACACUCUGGUCUGGGGCAGUAUGAACCUGACUGAUGUCCUGUCUCCAUGCCAACCGAAGUCUCAGGUCGAGGUAAACCUAAACCCUCCUGUCAGAAGGUGACCUCUCUGCCCCAAUCCAAACUCUACAGGAUCACCCAUCUUGAUGCAUGUGCCUGCCUGGCUGAAGUAGAUGUGUGUUUGCUUCUAUUGGGUCCCGGUGUCAUUUAUACUGAUGGCUUGUGAGCGUUUCAUCUCUGGCACCCUACCAGACAGCAUCUGAAACAGAGCAUAUUGUACAGCGCUCUGAGAGCGGAGAGAAACAUCUCCAACGGAGCUGAAGAUUGCGUCCCUGAAAACCGUACUAUGUCCAAUGUGGUGUAGAAUGUGUUGACUGGAGGCCUGAAAGGAUGCCAGAUAAGCUUUAAUCUUGCUUUCACUAAAAGUCUUUAAAGGCUUUUGACAUACAUUUCAAGUUGUUUGCUAGUCCCGGUAUAAAAAUAAACAGGCACAAUAUCUGAAAACCUCUGUACACUGAGGCUGGUCUUAUUUUAACUACCGUUCAAAGGUUUGGGGUCGGUAAGAAGUCUUUUAUGCUCACAAACCUGCUUUCAUUAGAUCAAAAAUGCAGCAAACAGUAACAUUGUUUAAUGUCACUAGAAUUUAAAAUGUAAUUUACUACAGUGAAAUCAAAGUUGAAUUUUAAGCUUCCGAGAAACAUUUCUCAUUAUUACUAUUGUUUAAAACAGUACUAGUUAUUAUUUCUUUUGAACAGAAAGUUUAAAA
Puntigrus tetrazona (Sumatra barb) is the source of this 1063-nucleotide long non-coding RNA. RefSeq lists it as uncharacterized. NCBI's taxonomy places the organism in Eukaryota, Metazoa, Chordata, Actinopteri, Cypriniformes, Cyprinidae. The transcript is spliced from 4 exons. The record is from RefSeq and is a predicted model, not a curated record.